AUUGAACGCUGGCGGCAUGCCUUACACAUGCAAGUCGAACGGCAGCACGGACUUCGGUCUGGUGGCGAGUGGCGAACGGGUGAGUAAUGUAUCGGAACGUACCUUUCAGUGGGGGAUAACGUAGCGAAAGUUACGCUAAUACCGCAUAUUCUGUGAGCAGGAAAGCAGGGGAUCGCAAGACCUUGCGCUGAUUGAGCGGCCGAUAUCAGAUUAGCUAGUUGGUGAGGUAAAGGCUCACCAAGGCGACGAUCUGUAGCGGGUCUGAGAGGAUGAUCCGCCACACUGGAACUGAGACACGGUCCAGACUCCUACGGGAGGCAGCAGUGGGAAUUUUGGACAAUGGGGGCAACCCUGAUCCAGCCAUGCCGCGUGAGUGAAGAAGGCCUCGGUGUAAGACUCUUCGUCCGGAAGGAAAGUACGUCGAUGGCGUAAUACCCUACGUGCGGAGUGAC
RNAcentral lists this ribosomal RNA (452 nucleotides) under uncultured bacterium. Its description in RNAcentral is "bacterial SSU rRNA". It matches the Rfam family "Bacterial small subunit ribosomal RNA", at positions 30 to 490 of the family's 1533-position model. The record is from RNAcentral.